Molecule: ribosomal RNA, 427 nt
Filed under: uncultured bacterium
Lineage: Bacteria
Description: bacterial SSU rRNA
Rfam family: Bacterial small subunit ribosomal RNA
Source: RNAcentral
UUACACAUGCAAGUCGAACGGUAACAGGGAGCUUGCUCCGCUGACGAGUGGCGAACGGGUGAGUAAUGCAUCGGAACGUACCCAGUCGUGGGGGAUAACGUAGCGAAAGUUACGCUAAUACCGCAUACGUCCUGAGGGAGAAAGCGGGGGACCGUAAAGCCUCGCGCGAUUGGAGCGGCCGAUGUCGGAUUAGCUAGUUGGUAGGGUAAAGGCCUACCAAGGCGACGAUCCGUAGCGGGUCUGAGAGGAUGAUCCGCCACACUGGGACUGAGACACGGCCCAGACUCCUACGGGAGGCAGCAGUGGGGAAUUUUGGACAAUGGGCGAAAGCCUGAUCCAGCCAUGCCGCGUGAGUGAAGAAGGCCUUCGGGUUGUAAAGCUCUUUCAGCCGGAAAGAAAUCGCGCAGGAUAAUACUCUGCGUGGAUG